Molecule: long non-coding RNA, 2351 nt
Organism: Gasterosteus aculeatus aculeatus (three-spined stickleback)
Lineage: Eukaryota; Metazoa; Chordata; Actinopteri; Perciformes; Gasterosteidae
Source: Ensembl
GAUAACAUCAGUAUGCCAAACAACAGGAAGGUGGCGGAACAAAGAGUAUUGAAUCUUGCCCGUAGAUUCCAGAAAGACGAAUCCUUUCGGAAAGACUAUCAUGGCUUCAUGUGUGACGUCUUGAGGAAAGGGCAUGCAGAAAGAGUGCCAGAGGAACAACUCUCCCGGAAAGACGGAAGACUGUGGUAUAUUCCUCACCAUGGUGUCUACCACAAAAGAAAAAAGACUAUCCGGGUGGUGUUCGACUGCACCUCUUCAUUCCAAGGAACUUCCUUAAAUCGUGAGCUGUUGCCGGGUCCUGACCUUACGAACACACUAUUGGGUGUACUUCUCAGAUUCCGACAGGAACCAGUGGCAGUGAUGGGGGACAUUGAAGGAAUGUUCCAUCAAGUAAGAAUACCAAAGCAUGAUGUGGACUUCCUCAGAUUCCUGUGGUGGCCAGAUGGCGACACCAACCAACCGCUAGCAGAAUACCGGAUGACGGUGCAUCUCUUCGGAGCAGUCUCAUCACCGAGCUGUGCCAAUUUUGCACUGAAGCGGACAGCUGAUGACAAUGAAGGAAAGUGUAGCACUGAUGCUCUAAACACCAUUCGUCAAAACUUUUAUGUAGACGACUGUCUGAAAUCUGGCCCUCGGCAUGCGAUGGGACAUUGAGUCAGACACUUUCUUCUUUUCAAUCACCCCAAAACAACCAUCAGUAACCCGCAGAAGCAUUUUAUCGGUGUUAAACUCUGUAUACGACCCCCUAGGGUUCAUAGCGCCAGUAAUGCUGACAGGGAAAGGAAUACUGCAGGACCUGUGCAAGCUAAAUUGUGGAUGGGAUGAAACAAUACCAACUGCUUACACAGAGAGAUGGACGGAAUGGCUAAAAGAUCUUAACCUGAUUUCCAGCCUAAGAAUCAGGAGAUGUCUUAAGCCACAAGAUUUUGAAGUUGCUAGAGCACAGAUGCACCACUUCUGCGACGCAAGUGAGCGAGGUUACGGGACAGUCAGCUACUUGAAACUUAGCAGUAAAGUUGGACUACCUAACAUAAUGUUUGUGAUUGGGAAAUCAAGAGUUGCACCCUUAAAGGUGGUGACAACUCCACGUCUGGAGCUUGCUAGUGCAGUUCUCGCUGCUAGGAUAGACAGGAUGUUGAGGAGAGAGCUCGAGUUAACCCUCGAGGACUCAGUCUUUUGGACCGACAGUACCGCUGUCUUAAAAUACAUCCAAAAUGACGCCAGAAGGUUUCAAACCUAUGUAGCCAACAGAGUGUCCACUAUUCGGGAACUGACACACAAAUUCCAAUGGCGCCACAUAAAGACAGAACUCAACCCCGCAGACAUGGCAUCAAGAGGCAUAAAAACCGAGAAGUUCAUUCAAGAAGGACAUUGGCUGAGUGGUCCAAAUUUCCUGAUGCAACCAGAAACUGACUGGCCAGUGAUUCAAGUACCACCCACGCUGUAUGACAGUGACCCGGAGGUCAAGAAGGUGGCCAUGGCUUUCACUACAAGUAUACUGCAGAAUGAAAAGCCACUGACUCGUUUUAUUGAGCACUUCUCAUCAUGGAACAAAUUGAUCCGAUCAUCAGCCUGGAUCUUAAAAUUCAAAGAAACUCUGAGACGAAAGAAAACUAGUAACGCCUACCCAACCGGGUCGCAGCUGUCCGUGGAGGAUUUAGCCAAGGCAGAGCAAUCACUUGUGUCUUAUGUCCAACAACAAUCCUUCAAAGAUGAGGUGACCUCUCUACAAAGGGGCUUACCCAUAAAGAGAAACAGUAGGAUCUAUAGACUAGAUCCUAUCCUCCAACAUGGAAUCCUGAGAGUCGGAGGCAGACUAAGUAAGCUGGCAAUGCCAGAGGAAACCAAACAUCCUGCUAUUCUACCCAAGGACAACCACCUGUCAAAGAUACUCCUACACCACACCCAUACCUCGAUGGCUCAUUGUGGAAGAAAUCAACUUAUUGCAAAACUCAGGACAAAAUACUGGAUUCUAAGAGUAAAUUCUGCUGCAAGAAAGAUAACAAGGGACUGUGUACUUUGCAGGAGAUGGCAUGGCACAGCAAUGACACAAAAAAUGUCCGACCUACGGCUACACAGGAUAACACCUGAUUUGCCGCCCUUCACCCAUACAGGACUAGACUACUUCGGGCCCAUAGAAGUCAAGCGCGGCCGCAGCAAAGUAAAACGGUAUGGAGCCUUGUUUACAUGCCUAGCAAGCAGAGCUGUACAUCUGGAGAUGGCCUACUCAAUGGAUACAGACUCAUGUAUUUCUGCACUGCGAAGAUUCAUCUGCAGACGAGGCCAAGUGAAAGAAAUUGUUUCCGAUAACGGUACUAAUUUUGUCGGGACUGAACGAGAGCUUCGAGAAG